This 253-nucleotide ribosomal RNA is filed under the name uncultured bacterium. RNAcentral describes it as "partial 16S ribosomal RNA". It matches the Rfam family "Bacterial small subunit ribosomal RNA", at positions 524 to 776 of the family's 1533-position model. The record is from RNAcentral.
UACGUAGGGGGCAAGCGUUGUCCGGAUUUAUUGGGCGUAAAGAGCGUGUAGGCGGCCAGGUAGGUCCGUUGUGAAAACUCGAGGCUCAACCUCGAGACGUCGGCGGAAACCAUCUGGCUAGAGUCCGGAAGAGGAGAGUGGAAUUCCUGGUGUAGCGGUGAAAUGCGCAGAUAUCAGGAGGAACACCAAUGGCGAAGGCAGCUCGCUGGGACGGUACUGACGCUGAGACGCGAAAGCGUGGGGAGCAAACAGG